This is a non-coding RNA of Triticum aestivum (bread wheat), 135 nucleotides long. NCBI's taxonomy places the organism in Eukaryota, Viridiplantae, Streptophyta, Magnoliopsida, Poales, Poaceae. The record is from Rfam.
CAUGUACUCCCUCCAUCCGAAAAUACUUGUCAUCAAAAUGGACAAAAAGGGAUGUAUCUAAUACUAAAAUACAUCUAGAUACAUCCCCUUUUAUUCAUUUUGAUGAUAAGUAUAUCCGGACGGAGGGAAUAUUUA